GUAGUCUGCACAGAUGCAUAUCAUAAGCGGAGGAAAAGAAACUAACAAGGAUUCCCUUAGUAACGGCGAGUGAAGCGGGAAGAGCUCAAAUUUGAAAUCUUAAAGGUCUACCUUGCACGAAUUGUAGUUUAAAGAAGUGUUUUCUGUUGACGAUCUGGUAAUAUAAGUUCUUUGGAAUAGGACAUCACUAGAGGGUGAGAAUCCCGUCUAUGAUUGCAUAUUUGUAGCUGUGUGAUACACUUUCAAAGAGUCGGAUUGUUUGGGAAUGCAGUCCCAAAACUGGGAGGUAAAUUUCAUUCUAAAGCUAAAUAUUGGCGAGAGACCGAUAGCGAACAAGUACCGUGAGGGAAAGAUGAAAAGAACUUUGAAAAGAGAGUUAAAUAGUACGCGAAAUUGUCAAAAGGGAAGCGUUUAACACCAGUGUUGUUUUCUGAAAAUCAACCUCUGUUAGCUUUAUGCAUGUUUGUUUAGACCUAAUCAGCUAUCUUGCAUGUUCUAUUGUUUGCAGUGGUGCACUUUUCAGUUUACAGGUCAACAUCAGUUUUUUUUACCGUAAAAAAGUUAAAGAAAGGUAGCUCAUGGCUCCGGUCGUGAGUGUUAUAGUCUUUUUCCUAUGCGGUAGGAGAGACUGAGGUCUGCAGUGUAGGCUAUUUGGCUAGAUACUCAGGUGCUAUGUGAUACCAUUUCAUAAACAACUUGUUGAUUAUGUUUAUGUCUAUUGCAUACUCGCUUGUACUAUCAUACCUACGCUUAGGAUGUUGAAGAUGUAGCACAUCAU
RNAcentral lists this ribosomal RNA (778 nucleotides) under uncultured Neocallimastigales. RNAcentral's name for it is "partial large subunit ribosomal RNA". It matches the Rfam family "Eukaryotic large subunit ribosomal RNA", at positions 24 to 635 of the family's 3401-position model. Lineage: Eukaryota; Fungi; Neocallimastigomycota; Neocallimastigomycetes; Neocallimastigales. The record is from RNAcentral.